This 367-nucleotide ribosomal RNA is filed under the name Semnorhynchus sp. ARC3971. RNAcentral's name for it is "SSU rRNA". The record is from RNAcentral. Lineage: Eukaryota; Metazoa; Arthropoda; Insecta; Coleoptera; Curculionidae.
AAGGUGAAACCGCGAAAGGCUCAUUAAAUCAGUUAUGGUUCCUUAGAUCGUACCCACAAUUACUUGGAUAACUGUGGUAAUUCUAGAGCUAAUACAUGCAAACAGAGCUCCGACCGGAGACGGAAGGAGUGCUUUUAUUAGAUCAAAACCAAUCGGUGGCGGGCUCGUCAUCGUAUAACUUGGUGACUCUGAAUAACUUUACGCUGAUCGCACGGUCAUCGCACCGGCGACGCAUCUUUCAAAUGUCUGCCUUAUCAACUGUCGAUGGUAGGUUCUGCGCCUACCAUGGUUGUAACGGGUAACGGGGAAUCAGGGUUCGAUUCCGGAGAGGGAGCCUGARAAACGGCUACCACAUCCAAGGAAGGCA